CGGGGAUGCAGGCUCCCCGUCAGACGCCCUGCGUCCAAGCCCUGC
This 45-nucleotide non-coding RNA is filed under the name unclassified sequences. Its description in RNAcentral is "chromate-resist RNA". It matches the Rfam family "chrB-b RNA". The record is from RNAcentral.